This is a long non-coding RNA of Felis catus (domestic cat), 4599 nucleotides long. RefSeq lists it as uncharacterized. The transcript is spliced from 4 exons. Lineage: Eukaryota; Metazoa; Chordata; Mammalia; Carnivora; Felidae. The record is from RefSeq and is a predicted model, not a curated record.
AAGGAAAUGAAAUUAAGCUGUUUCCCAGAUUCGCUCUUCAAAAUUAGUCCUGGGCUGGCCUUCAAUACUGCAAACACAUUCUGUGUGGCCACAAGGGAGGACUGCAUAGAAUUCUUGGACCAACUACGAAGCUUUGGGGGCCUGACAAGCUGAGAAAGUGCGAGAAAAAAUGACACAGCAGUCUAGCUGUGACAACUUCAUUACGAAGAAUGUUCGCUUUCUCAGUUCAUAACAGCGGCCAUUCUACAAGCAAAUUUUAAAAGACCCUCUCAAACCUGCAAGCCAAGAAUAACGACAUCCUCAUCAAAGAUGUAGAAAGGGCUGCUCCGAGUGUUGUGGGUGCUAACCUGGAAUCGUUAUCUGUUACGCGAGCAAAUCCAUCAAAUCCGACCAGACUUGCCGCCAGCAGGCCAGCCCAUGGAAGCCAGUGGCUUGGUGCUCAACUUCAGCUGCUGGCAGAAAGGAGAAAAAGACAUCACCCAUCCGAAAAAUUUUAAUCCCCCAGCAAAAUACAAUACUCAAUUUUUCAUUAACCUUCUGACACCUGGACUCACAGAGUAUCCCCACACUAAUCACUAAUGGGUUUUGCAUUACCAAUUAGUGUAGCAAAUUCUCCAGCAUUGGUGCCAAAGGGUUAAUCAUUAGUUUCACACCACUGGGUGGUCAGAGUCAGAAGAGCAGCCCCUGAACCCAAAAGAGUGGAGAGUGAGGGGCUGGGGGGUGGAGAGAGCUCUCAUUAUCAAGAAGAAACAUGCAGCUCAUAGGCAUUGACCUCCAUAUCUCUCUCCUGGCAUCUUGCCUCAAGGUGGAUUUAAGUAUUAUACAAGUAUGCACGUGUGCACACACAUGCACACAUGUUUAGACACAGUUCUGGGCCCAGAACAAAUCACCAACCUAGCCAGUUUCUAUUGAGUCUGUCCCAUCAAAGGUAGAUCAGGCCAGAGGAAUUCUCUCUCUCUCUCUCUCUCUCUCUCUCUCUCUCUCUCAGCACCUCUGUCUCUUUGCUUCUCUAAGCAAUGACUUUCCCAUGGGAAUGAAAAAAUUUGCCAUUUCAGAGGGAGCUGGGUUUUGAGAAGUGUUUGAUCUCUCUUAAGAGAUACUUCUCUGAAGUUCUGCCAACCCUCGAUUAUCUGUACAAAUGAGGCUUACAGAAAGUAUGGAAAGAUUCGAUUCACAGAUAAUCUUCAAACUCCGGUUUGGUCUAUAUCUUAGUUUCUUUCUGAACAAAUUGUACCAGGGCAAUUAACAAACAAAACUGAUUGGAUGUUUCCUUUCUCCUUUUAUGGUCAAUUUUGUGGAUGUCAGCAGCAUGAGGAAAUUGUCAAAACACUGGCAAAGGGGAGAGAGGAAAGGGAAGAAACAAAAUACCCAGAUAGUCUGCAAGCUAGAUAAUCUGCUCCUGAAUAAUUGAGAAGAAUCUAAUUUCAAAGAUAAUAAAAGAAGGCUCAGAGAGCAAUUCCAUCUUGAAAAUGCACAACCCCUUCCCCCUAACCCCAAAAUAGCCGGUAGGAAAACAAAUAAGUAAACAAGAAAACCGCAAGAAAAAUUUGAACCUACUGUCCCCAUCCACAUUUUCCCUGAUCUAAUCUACAUGUGUUCUAAGUUAAAUUAUAUUCUAAAGAGGUGCAGGGCGGGGAGGAAGAGAAGGAAACACAGAAGACACUUCUCACUUGUGUCCCGUCUAGCUGUCUUGCUUUGUCGUCAGGUACUGAAAGCUAACACGGUUGCUUUCAAAACUAUAUGGUCUAAAACUUCCGAAAGUGACCCACUUCCACACUUCUCUCUCCUCUCUCUCUCUCUCUCUCUCUCUCUCUCUCUCUCUCCCCCCUUUUUUUUUUAGAAAACCCAACAUUCAAAAAAAAGAACAGCAAUGACUCAGCACUUUAUUAUUUAUUUUUUAGUCCCAAAGUUUUGACUCCUUACACACACACACACACACACACACACAAAAUGCUUAUGCGCAUUUGAAACUGAAAUGGGAAACUUUGCCACACUCGAUUCUCCACGGUGCUUCCACUCAAAGCCAGAAUUUAAAACUUUUCAGUUAAGGGAAGAAAGACUCUUAAUGAGCCUAAUCAUGCACAUUAUUUUGGCUGGAAUCAUUGACUGACUGCACUUACUUAGUUCUGCUUUAGAAAUGAAAAUCUAAUAAAGUAACUGGCAGUUUAAAUGUCACAGAAAUUUUCUCCAACAUCCCAACUGGAAUUGUGAAAACAGGCUCAAAUUCCUCUAAUCUCUCUCUCUUUCACCUUCAAAUGCCACUCUUCUAAACCAAACCAUUUCCUAAGAAAUAGCAGAACUCGGCUGGGUUCAGAGGUCGGGGCAAGGGUGGGGAGGAGGAAGACUCUUUCUUCAAGUUGGAAGGGAUUUGCUUUUUUCCACACACUAAGGCAAGAAGGACCGGAAUCUUGAGGCUGGGAGUGUUCUGCCUCUUGCAAGGGAAUUCAAAGGAGUCAUUGUAUUUGAUACUUUGCUUCCCAAUUGGCCUCUGACAGCAACAUCAGAAGCAACAGAUACUUCAGUUCUACAUCUGGAAAGAGGCAUUUCUUUUUACAAAGAAAAAGAAAAAAAACCACUCCUAAAGACAUUGAAGCCUAAUUACUCUAUAUCCCAUAAUCUUAAAGAUUGGGAUCUCUCUGAUACUAUGUGAUAACCCCUUGAGGAAUGGGAGCAGCUCCAUUAGGACUUGAACAGAUAGCAUCUCUAUACUUUCCCCUCUAUAAAACUAAUAUUCAAAAUAAAUAUACUGGCUGGAUGCUUUCGUUUCCCCUGCCACUGAAUUGUAAUGAUCUUUGUGCAGGGUACAAUACCAUUUAUUAAGGUAUCAAGUAGACAAUAAACUCUUCACUAAAAUGUAACAGGGAUUUUGUACAGGACUAAACGUUCAAGGAAUCAGUUUAGGCUAAUCACUGGCCCACUUGCUUUUCAAGAAGAUGUAUGCACCAAAUCCUCAUAUUUGUGAUGGAGACUUUAGAGUUCUGAAUGGUGCUGAAUGGUGCUUUAGAGUUCUGAACGGUCUAUGGUGUAGACCAUAGCAUCAUAAAUUCAUGCUAAGGAACAGAAAGUAUUCUGAGCAUCAUGGUUACUACAGUCAUGGUGGUUGGGACCACUACAUAAUAUGCCCUGGAAGAAAUAUCCCCCAUUUCUAGGGCUGCUGUGACCCAGAGAUGAGCUAAAGAAAGGAAAAAAAAAAAAAGAGAGACAAAGGAUGGUAGUAGCAAUCUGGGAAGCACUGAGGGAGGUACAGGAGAGAGGGUGAAGCAGGAGAGAGGGCAGUAGUUGGUUUAUGAAACCAUUAGCAAGCAUCAUAAGAGAACAACAGACAACCACUGAGAAAGCAUCCAUUCCCGAAUUUUAGUUAUACGUGAAGACCCCUAGGUAAUUUUGGUUGUUCUGUCAGCCAAGUCAAACCAGGCCUCUCAGAAGCCAAUGGAAACGUCUCAGGUUUUCUCAUUCUGCUAUUCUGAUGGAAAUUAAACUUGUAAAUCAAUAACAAGACAGAACCAACUCUGUGUAAAAGCACUACUCCUUUAUCCUCUAUUCUCCAGCAUUCUUGCCCAAAUGAUUUAAGAUUCCCAAAGGCAAGUGAAAAGAUUUAAGUUUGAGACUUGUUUGUAAAAUUUCAGCUUAAGUCUCCUAUUGAAAGAACAUUGUAAAGUAGGCAUGGAGGAAAAAAAAUGUAUGGCACUCAUACACUCAUGGGCUACUCCUCAAAAACUUUUGAAGUGACUGACAUGGGCAUCCCAGGGGAAUCUCGGAUUAUACACAUGACAAACAUCAACAGACUUCUCCAAUUUGCCCUUGUUCAUCCUUUGCUGGCUCUCCUCCACCUCUGCCCUUCUCCUGGGCAUCUUUUUUCCUUUUUUUUUUUUUUUUAAUGUAUGUCAUCUGCUAUUCUUUCCUCUAGAUUUACCAUCUGUUAUUCAGCUUUAUUUUUUCCUAUUGUAUAUUUCUGUCACAACUUCUUUAUUUUUAUUAUCCCACGAUAAGCACUGCAUUCCUCUAGACCACAUGCACAACACUAAAGAAGUCCUCCAACUAACGAUAUUGAUUCCCAUUAUGGAGACAGCCACUUUCCCCGGCUCUCAGUUGUCUUUCUCACUCUACCAGUUAAGACUUUCCACAUCUUGAGCAAGAUUAAGAAACGUGUGCUCAUUGUUGGCCCCUUGCUGCUGCAGAAAUGAUGAUGUUUGCUGAGAAAUCUUGAAAAAAACACCAAGCAAAAUGAGAGUAUGACAUUCCCAGCUAAGAUCAGAACCCAUACUUGGGAAGAGUGUCAUCCAACCCCUGAUGCUUGAACCUCAAUCCUGAGACCCCAGGAGCACCCAGUGCAUCCAUGUUUCUCAAAAGACUUCAGUCUGGUUCUUGAUUUUUAACUCCAUACCUCUGCUUACUGAAAAAUUAGACUGAAGCCUAAUUUGGGGCAAUCUCAUUUCCUAGUGACUUUGCAGUCACUUACUCUUUUGAACACUUUUUUUGGGCUUUGCCAAAAUCCUGCAUUUUCAUUCACUCCAUUGUAAAGGCUUCUUUUCAGCUAUAAAGUCUUAUGUCAACAAAAAAAUGGAAAAACAUUCCAUGCUCAUGGAUUGGAAGAACAAA